CCAUGCCUCACCCCAGAGCUUUCAGUCUAACUGGGCUUUGCUGUCCCUUCAACUCUUUCCGGAGCAGAGGUGUUCUCAGGAAAUAUCCAAGGGAGAGUCACAGAGACCCACACCAUUGACCUUGUAAAACUGCUGUGAAGAUCAAGCAGAAGAUACCAGUUUUGAACACAUUGAAAUGCACGAAAUCUCACAGAAACAUUAGCCAGAGUGAUUUCAAAAGGUAUGUAUGUUCUAUCUUUACCCAAAUUCAACCAUUUUGAUGGUAUUGCCUUGUUUUUAGGU
RNAcentral lists this long non-coding RNA (282 nucleotides) under Mustela putorius furo (domestic ferret). RNAcentral describes it as "lncRNA (ENSMPUG00000026470.1)". Lineage: Eukaryota; Metazoa; Chordata; Mammalia; Carnivora; Mustelidae. The record is from RNAcentral.